GCGAGUCUGCCUUGAAAUCGGAGUGCUUGCACUCCGUGAAACAUAUACAGGCUAGCGGCGGACGGGUGAGUAACACGUGGGUAAUCUGCCCAAGAGAUCGGGAUAACACCUGGAAACAGAUGCUAAUACCGGAUAACAACAGAUGAUGCCUAUCAACUGUUUAAAAGAUGGUUCUGCUAUCACUCUUGGAUGGACCUGCGGUGCAUUAGCUAGUUGGUAGGGUAACGGCCUACCAAGGCGAUGAUGCAUAGCCGAGUUGAGAGACUGAUCGGCCACAUUGGGACUGAGACACGGCCCAAACUCCUACGGGAGGCAGCAGUAGGGAAUCUUCCACAAUGGACGCAAGUCUGAUGGAGCAACGCCGCGUGAGUGAAGAAGGGUUUCGGCUCGUAAAGCUCUGUUGUUGGUGAAGAAGGACAGGGGUAGUAACUGACCUUUGUUUGACGGUAAUCAAUUAGAAAGUCACGGCUAACUACGUGCCAGCAGCCGCGGUAAUACGUAGGUGGCAAGCGUUGUCCGGAUUUAUUGGGCGUAAAGCGAGUGCAGGCGGCUCGAUAAGUCUGAUGUGAAAGCCUUCGGCUCAACCGGAGAAUUGCAUCAGAAACUGUCGAGCUUGAGUACAGAAGAGGAGAGUGGAACUCCAUGUGUAGCGGUGAAAUGCGUAGAUAUAUGGAAGAACACCGGUGGCGAAGGCGGCUCUCUGGUCUGUUACUGACGCUGAGGCUCGAAAGCAUGGGUAGCGAACAGGAUUAGAUACCCUGGUAGUCCAUGCCGUAAACGAUGAGUGCUAAGUGUUGGGAGGUUUCCGCCUCUCAGUGCUGCAGCUAACGCAUUAAGCACUCCGCCUGGGGAGUACGACCGCAAGGUUGAAACUCAAAGGAAUUGAC
RNAcentral lists this ribosomal RNA (887 nucleotides) under uncultured bacterium. Its description in RNAcentral is "bacterial SSU rRNA". It matches the Rfam family "Bacterial small subunit ribosomal RNA", at positions 57 to 914 of the family's 1533-position model. The record is from RNAcentral.